Molecule: long non-coding RNA, 467 nt
Organism: Pseudopipra pipra
Lineage: Eukaryota; Metazoa; Chordata; Aves; Passeriformes; Pipridae
Exons: 2
Source: RefSeq, a predicted model, not a curated record
GCAUGGGAACCACACGAAGCACCUGUCAAUCAAUAAGGUCUGCCUGGUAGCCCGCCCACACUAUGUCCCCUGGAGCCUCUGAUUGGCUCCAGCACCCCUCACUCCAGCUAGGAGGGCACUGAGUGGUCAGUGAACCGGAUGUCCUGCCUGGGAGGAGUGGCCAGAGAGCCAAACCAUAUAAACAGAUGCACAGGACCUCCAUCUUGUUCAGCCCUCUCUCCUGGAAGCUGCCAACAUGUGACCUCUUAGUGAUGAAUGCUUCCACCUUCCUGACUCCCACAAUGGUAUGAUCCGGAAUGGAAUUUCCCAAUUAGAAUUGACAGUUAUAUCCUACAACUGGAUGCAUUUUUUCAUUAAAUACUUUUUUGUCAUCCUUUUUUUGCAAUAAUUAAGAUUUGUUGACUUUCUGGACAUGAUGCAAAGUUUGCAGUUUAGAAAGGAUUGCAAGAAAAAAGAAGCUGCCUAAA